Molecule: non-coding RNA, 432 nt
Organism: Ictidomys tridecemlineatus (thirteen-lined ground squirrel)
Lineage: Eukaryota; Metazoa; Chordata; Mammalia; Rodentia; Sciuridae
Source: RefSeq, a predicted model, not a curated record
CUUUCUGACCUCACACCUGCCUUUUUCCAGAUUGCACAGAGGAAAGGGGAAAGAAGAUGCACCAUUACUAGCAUUCUUAGGAUCAUGUUGGAAGCCUCUAUCCCUUAUGCAGAAGAUAGAGAUCCUGAGAUGGAACCCUCUCUUCAGCCAAGUCAACUUCAGCCAGGAAGCCCAGAGAAGAGGGAGGAAGAGAGAAAGAGCAUCCACUUUAUUACCUGUCAUCUGAACCAACCUGACUGUCAGGGGGUUAACAAUGUGCAGCCAGGUUACAAGUCCAUGAAGAACUUGCUCCUCCCCCCCCCAACCCCUACUUUGCAGCUUCCCUUUGUUAUGGGAGUUUUGGCAAGUAGAGAGGCAGGGUAGAGAAACUGCAGACACUUAGGGUUUCCCAGAAACUAAUAAAUCCAACUUUAUAUAAUUUCAUUGACUUAA